CAGCAGCCGCGGUAAUACAGAGGGUGCGAGCGUUAAUCGGAUUUACUGGGCGUAAAGCGUGCGUAGGCGGCUUCUUAAGUCGGAUGUGAAAUCCCUGAGCUUAACUUAGGAAUUGCAUUCGAUACUGGGAAGCUAGAGUAUGGGAGAGGAUGGUAGAAUUCCAGGUGUAGCGGUGAAAUGCGUAGAGAUCUGGAGGAAUACCGAUGGCGAAGGCAGCCAUCUGGCCUAAUACUGACGCUGAGGUACGAAAGCAUGGGGAGCAAACAGGAUUAGAUACCCCUGUAGUCCCUGUCUUUAUACA
RNAcentral lists this ribosomal RNA (301 nucleotides) under uncultured bacterium. RNAcentral's name for it is "partial 16S ribosomal RNA". It matches the Rfam family "Bacterial small subunit ribosomal RNA", at positions 509 to 809 of the family's 1533-position model. The record is from RNAcentral.